Long non-coding RNA from Lemur catta (Ring-tailed lemur), 226 nucleotides. RefSeq lists it as uncharacterized. The transcript is spliced from 3 exons. The record is from RefSeq and is a predicted model, not a curated record. Lineage: Eukaryota; Metazoa; Chordata; Mammalia; Primates; Lemuridae.
GGAAACUCCGCCCCCUGGUGUAGUUUGGAGGUCUAGCCCGCGUAAUACUAAACCGCGGCUGACAGUUUCUAUUGUAAAGUAGAAGCCUCUGGUAGCAGUGGUCCCAAAGUUCUACAUGGCAACAGUUGGCUGAUGCUGAGUGGUGUCGGCCCUUAGACCACAGCUGCCACAAUCCUUCCUGUAUUACACUUGCACCCCAGGUGAGUGAAUGGACUGAAUAUCUAGA